UACUCACAUGGUUGCUAAUCA
RNAcentral lists this non-coding RNA (21 nucleotides) under Mus musculus (house mouse). Its record names the gene mmu-miR-742-5p. RNAcentral also lists the same sequence under 1 other name. The record is from miRBase by way of RNAcentral. Lineage: Eukaryota; Metazoa; Chordata; Mammalia; Rodentia; Muridae.